CCCCGCCUACCUGUACUCGUGGGAGAUGGUGAUUGCUCACACCAAAGCCUUGGACCCCUCCCAGCCUGUGACCUUUGUGACCAACUCCACCUACGCAGCAGACAAGGGGCUCUGUAUGUGGAUGUGAUCCGUGUGAACAGCUACUACUCUUGGUAUCGCAACUACGGGCACCUGGAGUUGAUUCAGCUGCAGCUGGCCGCCCAGUUUGAGAAUUGGUGUAAGACAUCACAAUCCCAUUAUUCAGAGCGCGUAUGGAGUGGAAACGCUUGUAGGGUUUCACCAGGCUGGUGAAUUACCAGAUCUCCGUCAAGUGCAGUAACCAGUUCAAGUUGGAAGUGUGUCUUUUGAAUGCAGAAAACAAAGUCGUGGACAACCAGGCUGGGACCCAGGGCCAGCUGAAGGUGCUGGGUGCCAACCUCUGGUGGCCGUACCUGAUGCACGAACACCCCGCCUACCUGUACUCGUGGGAGAUGGUGAUUGCUCACACCAAAGCCUUGGACCCCUCCCAGCCUGUGACCUUUGUGACCAACUCCACCUACGCAGCAGACAAGGGGCUCUGUAUGUGGAUGUGAUCCGUGUGAACAGCUACUACUCUUGGUAUCGCAACUACGGGCACCUGGAGU
This 623-nucleotide long non-coding RNA is filed under the name Homo sapiens (human). Its description in RNAcentral is "long non-coding RNA NONHSAT204278.1". The record is from RNAcentral. Lineage: Eukaryota; Metazoa; Chordata; Mammalia; Primates; Hominidae.